CAGCCGCCGCGGGAAUACGAAGGGUGCAAGCGUUAAUUGGAAUUACUGGGCGUAAAGCGUGCGUAGGCGGUGAGUUAAGUCUGCUGUGAAAUCCCCGGGCUCAACCUGGGAAUGGCAGUGGAUACUGGCUCGCUAGAGUGUGUCAGAGGAUGGUGGAAUUCCCGGUGUAGCGGUGAAAUGCGUAGAGAUCGGGAGGAACAUCAGUGGCGAAGGCGGCCAUCUGGGACAACACUGACGCUGAGGCACGAAAGCGUGGGGAGCAAACAGGAUUAGAUACCCCCGUAGUCCCUGUCUCUUAUAC
This 301-nucleotide ribosomal RNA is filed under the name uncultured bacterium. RNAcentral describes it as "partial 16S ribosomal RNA". It matches the Rfam family "Bacterial small subunit ribosomal RNA", at positions 509 to 807 of the family's 1533-position model. The record is from RNAcentral.